Molecule: long non-coding RNA, 504 nt
Organism: Pongo pygmaeus (Bornean orangutan)
Lineage: Eukaryota; Metazoa; Chordata; Mammalia; Primates; Hominidae
Exons: 4
Source: RefSeq, a predicted model, not a curated record
AGAGUGGCUGUUUUCAGUAUGGCUUCAGUUCUUUUGCCCGAAUAGAGGAAAACUUGCAGGUUAAAUGUCCAGUGCAACAGCCAAGAGGACAGAGUAUUGCAGCAAGCGCACCUGGUGGAUGUUUCUGAUGAUGUUUGGCUAGUGGGAGGCUCCUGGGCCUAUUACCAGAUACCGUCCCAGUUACCCUGGGUUCCGUGGACUCACUGAAAGUGGGGGUGAAGGAUCCCCAGCAUACUCAGUCCUCUGUGACCAUGACCUGGAACUUGUGAAUGAACCAACUGCGAAUUUUCUAAACCGUUGGCUGCUGUUGUUAUUGUUAAAUAGUGGAGGCAUUUGGUGUAAUCUUUUUCAAUCCACACUUCAUUCCCCCAAACCAGAACAAUGUUAGGCAUGUAAAAGACACUGAGACAUUUGGCGGAUGAGUGAGUGAGCUGAGGCCAUCCUUGGCUUUGUUGCAGGACAGCCUUCCUUGUCGGCCUGCUGCUGGCUCUGCUGGUGUGGGCG